CGAUCCCUUCGGGGUGACGGUCUUGGCCUAGCACACGACCCUACGCUGGGGCGUUUAGCGUAUUAACAGGUGUGACGCAGGAAGGUAGCUGAGCCGGGCGAUGGUUGUCCCGGUCUAAGGAUGUAGGGCAGAAGAUAGGCAAAUCCGUCUUCUAUGUAGCCUGAGACCCGAUGGGUAGUCCUCACGGACGAAAUCAGUGAUCCUAUGCUGCCGAGAAAAGCAUCGACGCGAGGUUCCAAUCGCCCGUACCCCAAACCGACUCAGGUGGUCAGGUAGAGAAUACUAAGGAGAUCGAGAGAAUCGUGGUUAAGGAACUCGGCAAAAUGCCCCCGUAACUUCGGGAGAAGGGGGGCCUGAGGCGUGUAGGGAUUUACUCCUGAAGCGUUUGAAGGCCGCAGAGACCAGUGGGAAGCGACUGUUUACUAAAAACACAGGUCCGUGCUAAGUCGCAAGACGAUGUAUACGGACUGACGCCUGCCCGGUGCUGGAAGGUUAAGAGGAACGGUUAGCACGCAAGUGCGAAGCUGAGAAUUUAAGCCCCAGUAAACGGCGGUGGUAACUAUAACCAUCCUAAGGUAGCGAAAUUCCUUGUCGGGUAAGUUCCGACCUGCACGAAUGGCGUAACGACUUCCCAGCUGUCUCAACCGCGAACUCGGCGAAAUUGCACUACGAGUAAAGAUGCUCGUUACGCGCAGCAGGACGGAAAGACCCCGUGACCUUUACUACAGCUUGGUAUUGGUGUUCGGUGUGGCUUGUGUAGGAUAGGUGGGAGACUGUGAAGCUCGGACGCUAGUUCGGGUGGAGUCAUUGUUGAAAUACCACUCUGGUCACUCUGGAUAUCUAACUUCGAACCGUAAUCCGGUUCAGGGACAGUGCCUGGUGGGUAGUUUAACUGGGGCGGUUGCCUCCUAAAGAGUAACGGAGGCGCCCAAAGGUUCCCUCAACCUGGUUGGUAAUCAGGUGUCGAGUGUAAGUGCACAAGGGAGCUUGACUGUGAGACUGACAAGUCGAGCAGGGACGAAAGUCGGGACUAGUGAUCCGGCAGUGGCUUGUGGAAGCGCUGUCGCUCAACGGAUAAAAGGUACCUCGGGGAUAACAGGCUGAUCUUGCCCAAGAGUCCAUAUCGACGGCAUGGUUUGGCACCUCGAUGUCGGCUCGUCGCAUCCUGGGGCUGGAGUAGGUCCCAAGGGUUGGGCUGUUCGCCCAUUAAAGCGGUACGCGAGCUGGGUUUAGAACGUCGUGAGACAGUUCGGUCCCUAUCCGCUGCGCGCGUAGGAAAUUUGAGAAGAUCUAUCCCUAGUACGAGAGGACCGGGAUGGACGAACCUCUGGUGUGUCAGUUGUUCCGCCAGGAGCACCGCUGAUUAGCUACGUUCGGAACGGAUAACCGCUGAAAGCAUCUAAGCGGGAAGCCGGCUUCGAGAUGAGAUUUCCAUCCCUUUUAGGGUGAAGGCUCCCGGCUAGACUACCGGGUUGAUAGGCAGGAUGUGGAAGCGAGGACUAAAGACUCGUGGAGCUGACCUGUACUAAUAAGCCGAUAUCUUGAAAAC
This 1549-nucleotide ribosomal RNA is filed under the name Clavibacter michiganensis. Its description in RNAcentral is "partial 23S ribosomal RNA". It matches the Rfam family "Bacterial large subunit ribosomal RNA", at positions 1397 to 2925 of the family's 2925-position model. Lineage: Bacteria; Bacillati; Actinomycetota; Actinomycetes; Micrococcales; Microbacteriaceae. The record is from RNAcentral.